Molecule: long non-coding RNA, 258 nt
Filed under: Pelobates cultripes (western spadefoot toad)
Lineage: Eukaryota; Metazoa; Chordata; Amphibia; Anura; Pelobatidae
Source: RNAcentral
AGUAACAGAGGGAUUGAGGGCCCUGCUCAGUGAGUUUACAUGUUAGAGGGAGUGGGGUAUAGUGACACAGUAACAGAGGGAUUGAGGGCCUGCUCAGUGAGUUUACAUGUUAGAGGGAGUGGGGUAUAGUGACACUGUAACAGAGGGAUUGAGGGGCCUGCUCAGUGAGUUUACAUGUUAGAGGGAGUGGGGUAUAGUGACACAGUAACAGAGGGAUUGAGGCCCUGCUCAGUGAGCUUACAUGUUAGAGGGAGUGGG